Molecule: long non-coding RNA, 2911 nt
Filed under: Mus musculus (house mouse)
Lineage: Eukaryota; Metazoa; Chordata; Mammalia; Rodentia; Muridae
Description: long non-coding RNA chr15:82383783-82386694
Source: RNAcentral
GAGAGAGAGAGAGAGAGAGAGAGAGAGAGAGAGAGAGAGAGAGAGAGAGAGAGAGAGAGAGAAGAAGGCCUAGAGAGUAAGAAAGGUGAGGGCUUAAAGAGCUAGUUCCACACAUUUAAGUUAUCACACACUUUGUUAUAUCUGAGAUAUCUUUCCAGUUCCUAGAAACUGGGUGUAAAUCUUUUGAAGUGGCCAUUCUGAAUUCUAAGUUGGUUUUUUUUUUGUGUGUGUGUGUGAAAUGAUAGGUACAUUACCUCCUGUAUCAACCAAACCUUCUAUUUCAGUGUCAUUCACUUGUAACUUUAAUUUUGGCCUCUGAUCAUUAAGAAUUGUUUCCCAGAACACAUGAUUUCCAGUGUUUACUGGUCUUUCUACUAGAGCAGCUAUGCCUUUGAUAGAAGGAAGCAGUAACAGCUGAGCAAUUCUAACACCUGUGUUAAAUUGUAUCUCUCUCUCUCUCACCAUAAGCAAGUAUUUUAAUUUAUCUUUUGAAAUCUUCAUAUACAAUUUCUGGAUGUUCAAUAAAUCCUUGGAAAGAUAAACUGCUCUUUCCUAAGACCAUUGCUACUAUCCCUGAGGGCAAAGGACCAUAAACUCCAGUAGAUAUUUUAUAACAUAUAACCUUUGGGGGAUAGUGUACAAUAUUAAACUAUGGCCAAGUCUAGAGCAGCAUUGCCUUUAGACACGGACACAUGGGUCCAUGAAGACAUUGAAUGUACAUGCAUUGCCACAUCAUCUGCACACUCCUAGAAGCCCAGACCUUUUUUCUGAUUUAUAUUUUGAAAUACCAUUGCCCUUAGAGGUGCCUUGUUCACAAUUUUGUUUCAAAAGUCCCACAAUUAAAGCAGUAGGCCUUUUGAUAUCAAAGACUUCUAGCUAUAACUUGACCUAUAUUAGCAUGUUAUGCGUUAGAACCAUGAUAUAUGAAUGAUAGAGAAUGAUAUGAAUGAUAUAGAAUGAAUGAUAUAUUCAUAUUCUUUAUCCAUUCAUCUACGGGCAGUUCCCAUGCCUUCAGUGGUCUUACGACUUUUUUACUUUCGGCAUUUACAUUCUCAAAUGCAAAGGUCACUAUCAACACCUAUCUUGAAUUAGGGUCUGAUAUGGUCUUAUUUACUGCUGAGAUAAAUCUUUGUAAAAAAAUCAGUGAAGGCUUCUCCAAAGCCUUGUAUAAUUUUUGUAAAUGAUGUGGAUUUCUUUCCUGGCUCCUCAACUUUGUAUCAAGCUUUUAAAGCUGAUAAAUGAAAAUUUUCUAUGAUUGCAUCUUCAAAUUGGACCUGUUCUUGUAUAUCAGCAUAAUAACCUUCACCUAUCAACUGGUCUACCACUAUAUAAAUUCCCCUUACUCUAUUGUGCUGUUCCAAACUCCUGGCUUCUUCUCCUUACCAUUACAACCACUGCAAUUGAGGACCAGCCUCUAGUAUAGCUACCAAUUCCCUCCAGUAUUCGAGUGCAGAAUAAUUCUACUUUGAGUAGCCCAAUUAUUUAGAGAGUGUUUCAUAUAGGGUGAGUGCAUCCUGUAAGACAUCAUUGCCUCAUUAACUGCUUUAGGUCCUUCAUUUCUAUAGGAUAUCAUACUCCUUCAUUAUAACCAUGUAUAUUAUCCUGACUAGCAAGCAUAUGCUGGAUAAGUACUGGGAAUGCUGUUGGUGAUUUUUCUGACCAAGGACUGCCUGUCCUCCAAAGGUGCUGUAGGUUUAACUCUGUUUCCUUAAAAAAGCUGUCUCAUCUGAUCAUCCUUAUGCUUUUUCACUUCUUGGCUACCCUUUGACACAGUUCCUUCCCCUCUUUCUAUCCGGGGAAAACUCUCUCUUUCAGACUCAUUCAUUGGGGAUGAACCUAUUUGUUCUCCCUUUUCUUGUUAUUCUUCAUUUCUUUGCCCAAGCUUCUAUAUUUCCACCUGUAUUUUUUCCAUUUACUCGGACAGUCUUUUCUCUAAUUCUGCCUGUAUUUUCCAAUUGCAUAGACAGUGUUUUUGAACAGAAUAGCCAAAACCAAAAAAAAUGAGGAAAGAGAGAGAGAGAGAGAGAGAGAAGAAAAAAAUCCUGCUGCUAAAAACCAUGUAGGUAAUGUCCAAUAUCAGCUUCAACAAACUCCCUGUCAGCUUUUUGAAACAAAGUAUCGAUCCCUUCUUUUCCUGUUGUUUGCUCUACCCACACAGGCUAGUUAGUCAAGCAUUUGGAGGGUAGGGUGAGGAGAAUAAAAAGUAGACAACAUGCAGAACCAAGUACACUCUUACCGGAAAAAGCCACACACUAAAGGCUAGGGAUGUGGCUCAGAGGUAGAGAACCUCCCUAGGAUGCAACUGACUCCAAUCCAAACAUUAGCACAGCAAAAAUUAAAAUUAGAAAAAAAACCCCUAGAUGUACACUGGUGAGGGAGGGAGGGAGCUUUCUGGCCAACACCUGUACCAAUGGAGGGUGUCUGAUGCCAAGCCUAUAUGGAGUUCAUAGGAAAGCACUUGUUUAGUGUGCUUGAGCCAGGUUCAAAGAUGUCACUAUUAGGAUUUUUGUUUCAAUUGGCUAAAAGCAUACCUUCAUUAGUCACUCAGGGCUGUGGGUCUUUGAUGACUUGAUGGUCAGAGGUGCCAGGUUGAACCUAUAUGAUGAGACCACACAGGAACACAGGUAAGAUAGAGGAAGACACCUGACAUGGACUUCUGGUCCCUAUGAGCAAAUAUAUACGUGAACUCCCACAAAUAAACAUGUACAGACAUGGACACACCAAACACACACACACACACACACACACACACACACACACACACACACACACACACACAAACAGGCAUACACAUGCGCACACAGGAGUUUAAGGAUGCCCAAAGAGGUAAUUAUAAAUCCAUGAUCACACCAGCAUCGUUCAUACUGGUUGAAGGAGGGAAUGCAAGAAUCCAAUGACAGAUGAGUGGAUU